This is a long non-coding RNA of Anneissia japonica, 538 nucleotides long. RefSeq lists it as uncharacterized. The record is from RefSeq and is a predicted model, not a curated record. Lineage: Eukaryota; Metazoa; Echinodermata; Crinoidea; Comatulida; Comatulidae. The transcript has 2 exons.
GAAAGUAUACCUUUAAAUUUGGCCACAUUUGAAAUGGGCUGGACUAUGGCCUAAUGGUAUUGCUGACAGGAAAGAUAUUGUCAUUGUCAUACACAGAUAUUUAAUUUGAGGUAGACAAAGAAUCCACAAUUAUCAGGAAAGAAUGUCCAGACUCAAUGGUGAAAAGGCAACAGAACUUACCAACUAUUUAUAUAUAGCCAAAAAUGCUGUUAAUAAUCAAACUUUCUGCAAAAAUUAUGGAUAUGAAAUUAAUUAUUUUAAAGUAUUUCCUCUGCAAAAAUCUCAUAAAUAAUAAUAUAAUUCUUGUAUACUUUAUGUUUAUUAAUAUUGUAAUUGUAUUAUUACUACGAAUGUUAAUAUUAAUAAUAAACAAAAGAACCAUAGCAUUAUUGUUGCAAAAGAAUAUAGACGUAUGUAAGAUAAUAAGAUAUAUAAUUUUGUUGACUCAAAUCAGGUCUAUUAUUUUUUUAUAUAUAUAAAAUAAAAUGUAUACAUAUAUCCGAACUUUAUUUCAAUGCUUGUAAAUAAAUAUAAAAAU